Molecule: ribosomal RNA, 497 nt
Filed under: uncultured bacterium
Lineage: Bacteria
Description: partial 16S ribosomal RNA
Rfam family: Bacterial small subunit ribosomal RNA
Source: RNAcentral
GAUGAACGCUGGCGGCGUGCCUAAUACAUGCAAGUCGAGCGAACAGACGAGGAGCUUGCUCCUCUGACGUUAGCGGCGGACGGGUGAGUAACACGUGGAUAACCUACCUAUAAGACUGGGAUAACUUCGGGAAACCGGAGCUAAUACCGGAUAAUAUAUUGAACCGCAUGGUUCAAUAGUGAAAGACGGUUUUGCUGUCACUUAUAGAUGGAUCCGCGCCGCAUUAGCUAGUUGGUAAGGUAACGGCUUACCAAGGCAACGAUGCGUAGCCGACCUGAGAGGGUGAUCGGCCACACUGGAACUGAGACACGGUCACGACUCCUACGGGAGGCAGCAGUAGGGAAUCUUCCGCAAUGGGCGAAAGCCUGACGGAGCAACGCCGCGUGAGUGAUGAAGGUCUUCGGAUCGUAAAACUCUGUUAUUAGGGAAGAACAAAUGUGUAAGUAACUAUGCACGUAUUGACGGUACCUAAUCAGAAAGCCACGGCUAACUACGUG